Molecule: non-coding RNA, 64 nt
Filed under: unclassified sequences
Source: RNAcentral
UUCUAAGGAAUAAGGGUUGGACGUUUGAUCUCCGCAAGGACCUCUUAGAAAAACACCUAGUUAA